RNAcentral lists this long non-coding RNA (231 nucleotides) under Elaeis guineensis (African oil palm). Its description in RNAcentral is "long non-coding RNA (EGUI_LNC006361)". The record is from RNAcentral. Lineage: Eukaryota; Viridiplantae; Streptophyta; Magnoliopsida; Arecales; Arecaceae.
GUGGCGGUGGAGGGAGGAGAGGAGUAGAGGUGGCAAUGGCAUCGGAGAGGGAGCAGGAGAGGGUGGAUGGAGGCAAUGAUGCAUGGCAGGGUGCUACAGGAGGGAGAGGUGCUACAGAGGGGGUGGUGGGGAGCGAGCUGGAGGUCGAGGUGAGGACAAGGAGCCGAUCUUGAAGGCAACAAGUAAAUUAUCAGGGAGAGUAAAAAUAUUGCUAUCUUCACUUCUAUCAAC